AACGCUAGCGGCAGGCCUAACACAUGCAAGUCGAGGGGCAGCGGAAAGUAGCUUGCUACUUUGCCGGCGACCGGCGCACGGGUGCGUAACGCGUAUGUAACCUACCUUAAACAGGGGCAUAACACUGAGAAAUUGGUACUAAUUCCCCAUAAUACUUUGGAAGGCAUCUUCUGGAGUUGAAAGUUCCGGCGGUUUAAGAUGGACAUGCGUUGUAUUAGUUAGUUGGUGAGGUAACGGCUCACCAAGACGACGAUACAUAGGGGGACUGAGAGGUUAACCCCCCACAUUGGUACUGAGACACGGACCAAACUCCUACGGGAGGCAGCAGUGAGGAAUAUUGGUCAAUGGACGCAAGUCUGAACCAGCCAUGCCGCGUGCAGGAUGACGGCUCUAUGAGUUGUAAACUGCUUUUGUAUGAGGGUAAAUGUAGGUACGUGUACCUAUUUGAAAGUAUCAUACGAAUAAGGAUCGGCUAACUCCGUG
This 483-nucleotide ribosomal RNA is filed under the name uncultured bacterium. RNAcentral describes it as "bacterial SSU rRNA". It matches the Rfam family "Bacterial small subunit ribosomal RNA", at positions 32 to 507 of the family's 1533-position model. The record is from RNAcentral.